GGAGAGGUGCCAGAGUGGUUGAAUGGGGCGGUCUCGAAAACCGUUGUACCGUAAGGUACCCAGGGUUCGAAUCCCGGCCUCUCCGCCA
This 88-nucleotide transfer RNA is filed under the name candidate division Zixibacteria bacterium SM23_73. RNAcentral's name for it is "tRNA-Ser". It matches the Rfam family "tRNA". From Rfam's summary of the family: Transfer RNA (tRNA) molecules are approximately 80 nucleotides in length. Their secondary structure includes four short double-helical elements and three loops (D, anti-codon, and T loops). Lineage: Bacteria; Pseudomonadati; Candidatus Zixiibacteriota. The record is from RNAcentral.